Molecule: ribosomal RNA, 462 nt
Filed under: Pycnococcus provasolii
Lineage: Eukaryota; Viridiplantae; Chlorophyta; Pseudoscourfieldiophyceae; Pseudoscourfieldiales; Pycnococcaceae
Description: partial Bacterial large subunit ribosomal RNA
Rfam family: Bacterial large subunit ribosomal RNA
Source: RNAcentral
UCGGUGGAUGCCUUGGCGCCAAGAGGCGAUGAAGGACGUGGCACGCUGCGAAAAGCCGCGGGGAGAUGCGAGCGAUCGUUGAUCCGCGGAUGUCCGAAUGGGGAAACCCCUCCUUAGGGAGAUCGGCGGCUGAAUACAUAGGCUGUCGAGGCGAACCCGGGGAACUGAAACAUCUCAGUACCUGGAGGAAAAGACAUCAACCGAGAUUCCGUUAGUAGUGGCGAGCGAACGCGGACCAGGCCAGCGCCUGGAGAGAGUUUACCGGAACGGUCUGGAAUGGCCGGCGAGAUGGGUGACAGCCCCGUACGGGACGGACGAUCUUCGGGACACGAGUAGGGCGGGACACGUGAAAUCCUGUCUGAACAUGGGGGGACCACCCUCCAAGCCUAAGUACUCCUCAGCGACCGAUAGCGAACAAGUACCGUGAGGGAAAGAUGAAAAGCACUUUGGAAAGAGAGUUAA